RNAcentral lists this ribosomal RNA (468 nucleotides) under uncultured bacterium. RNAcentral describes it as "partial 16S ribosomal RNA". It matches the Rfam family "Bacterial small subunit ribosomal RNA", at positions 28 to 507 of the family's 1533-position model. The record is from RNAcentral.
GAUGAACGCUGACAGAAUGCUUAACACAUGCAAGUCAACUUGAAUUUGGGUUUUUUAACUUAGAUUUGGGUGGCGGACGGGUGAGUAACGCGUAAAGAACUUGCCUCACAGCUAGGGACAACAUUUGGAAACGAAUGCUAAUACCUGAUAUUAUGAUUAUAAGGCAUCUUAGAAUUAUGAAAGCUAUAUGCGCUGUGAGAGAGCUUUGCGUCCCAUUAGCUAGUUGGAGAGGUAACGGCUCACCAAGGCGAUGAUGGGUAGCCGGCCUGAGAGGGUGAACGGCCACAAGGGGACUGAGACACGGCCCUUACUCCUACGGGAGGCAGCAGUGGGGAAUAUUGGACAAUGGACCGAGAGUCUGAUCCAGCAAUUCUGUGUGCACGAUGACGUUUUUCGGAAUGUAAAGUGCUUUCAGUUGGGAAGAAAAAAAUGACGGUACCAACAGAAGAAGUGACGGCUAAAUACGUG